RNAcentral lists this ribosomal RNA (339 nucleotides) under Hyalomma rufipes. RNAcentral describes it as "partial 12S ribosomal RNA". The record is from RNAcentral. Lineage: Eukaryota; Metazoa; Arthropoda; Arachnida; Ixodida; Ixodidae.
AUUAUUAAGAAUAAAAAAUUGUAAGUAAAUAUUAAUUACGAAAGCAAAAAAUUAUGGCGGUAUUUUAAGCUUUUCAGAGGAAUUUGCUCUUUAAUGGAUAAAACACCUAAAUCUUACUUAAAUUAGUACCUUUCAGUUUGUAUACCACUAUUAUAAUAAUAAUUUGUUAUUAUUAUUAAUAUUCUUAAAUUAGAAUAAAAUUAAGUCAAGGUGCAGCAUAAAUUUAUGAAUGAAGUGAAUUACAUUUCUUUAAAGAAAAAUGAAAUUGAAAUAAAACAUUUAGGAUUUGAUAGUAAAGUUAAAAUAUUAUGUUAAUUUGAAUAAAGCUCUAAAAUAUGU